RNAcentral lists this ribosomal RNA (422 nucleotides) under uncultured bacterium. RNAcentral's name for it is "bacterial SSU rRNA". It matches the Rfam family "Bacterial small subunit ribosomal RNA", at positions 355 to 774 of the family's 1533-position model. The record is from RNAcentral.
UGAGGAAUAUUGGACAAUGGGUGGAAGCCUGAUCCAGCCAUCCCGCGUGAAGGAUGACGGUUCUAUGGAUUGUAAACUUCUUUUGUACAGGGAUAAACCUGCCCUCGUGAGGGCAGCUGAAGGUACUGUACGAAUAAGCACCGGCUAACUCCGUGCCAGCAGCCGCGGUAAUACGGAGGGUGCGAGCGUUAUCCGGAUUUAUUGGGUUUAAAGGGUCCGUAGGCGGGCCUGUAAGUCAGUGGUGAAAUCUCAUAGCUUAACUAUGAAACUGCCAUUGAUACUGCAGGCCUUGAGUAAAUUUGAAGUGGCUGGAAGAAGUAGUGUAGCGGUGAAAUGCGUAGAUAUUACUUAGAACACCGAUUGCGAAGGCAGGUCACUAAGAUUUAACUGACGCUGAUGGACGAAAGCGUGGGGAGCGAACA